AUAAUAAAAAAAGAAAUAAAAUAAAAAAAAAUAUUAAAAACAAAAAACCAAAAAGAUCGUUUUGGUGGUGCCUGGAGAAUGGACUGUAGAGGGGAAGGGUGGAAGCAGGGAGACCAGGUGUUAGAGGCCAUCACAGUAAUCCAGGUGAGAAAUGAUGUGGCUCGGGGUGAUGCACUGGCUUACUGAUGGAUUGAAUGUGGAGGUAAGGGAAAGAAAGACGGAAAUCAAAGAUGGUUUCUAAGUUUGGGGCUCGGGCAACCAAAUGGACAGUGAUUUUGUUUCCUGAAGUAAGAAGUCAAAACCGUGGAAAUGAAAGGUAUGAAGGGAGACUCAGGAAUGAGAGUGGCACUAUUCAGAGGACCCCAUGAAUUGUCACUGAGGAUGUUUCAUAUUGUAACCUGGGGUAGGGAUGGGGGUUGGAUGCUCUCUUAGCUUGGUAAGACCAGGGUUUUUAGCUCCUGAGAAGUAAGGUCCAAAUGAGGACCAGAUGGAAUCUUUAGAAGAGAAAUAUUCUUCAGAUGGUAAAGAGUGUUUGAAUUCAGAUUUUUCAGUAGAAACCUUGCAAAUACUAUAGCCCCUUAGUAUUUCUUGCCUCUUCCCUCUCACAGCUGAGACCACUGGAGACCAUGGGACCAGAGCUCACUGUCCCCCCUUGCCCUCCACUAUGUUUGCGUCCAGCACAAGAAUACAAGAAGGGAAGAAAGGGAUUUUUCUCUGCCCCGACAGUUUUGGCGAGCCAGCUAGGAGACCCACUGGCUGGAAAACUGCUUUCUCCCUGAGGCUGCUGCAGCUCAGAGAUCCUGGGGCAUCAGACACAGAAGCCGGCCCGAAGAACAAAAUUUUCUUGGAAUAUUGGUCUACUCCUGAUAAGAGAUUAUGAAAGAUUUUUCCUUACUUUGUGGUGUUUUAUCAGAACUACUUCCUGUGCCUUAUCUUUUUUUUUUUUAAUUUUUAUUUAUUUAUUUAUUUUCCCCCAAAGCCCCAGUAUAUAGUUGUAUGUCAUAGUUGCACAACCUUCUAGUUGCUGUAUGUGGGACGUGGCCUCAGCAUGGCCAGAGAAGCGGUGCGUCAGUGCACACCCG
This is a long non-coding RNA of Diceros bicornis minor, 1082 nucleotides long. RefSeq lists it as uncharacterized. Lineage: Eukaryota; Metazoa; Chordata; Mammalia; Perissodactyla; Rhinocerotidae. The transcript is spliced from 3 exons. The record is from RefSeq and is a predicted model, not a curated record.